GUCCCUGUAGCGCAAUGAAGAGUGUGAUGAACAUUUAAUUCAAAGGGGUCGUGGGUUCAAUUCCCACCUGGGAUG
Non-coding RNA from Trichonephila inaurata madagascariensis, 75 nucleotides. The record is from the annotation of a GenBank genome assembly. NCBI's taxonomy places the organism in Eukaryota, Metazoa, Arthropoda, Arachnida, Araneae, Nephilidae.